GACGAACGCUGGCGGCGUGCCUAAUACAUGCAAGUCGUGCGGACCUUGUUGAAAGCUUGCUUUUACAAGGUUAGCGGCGGACGGGUGAGUAACACGUUGGCAACCUGCCUGUAAGACUGGGAUAACGCCGGGAAACCGGGGCUAAUACCAGAUCGUUUUUUCCUCCGCAUGGAGGAAAAAGGAAAGCCGGCUUCGGCUGCCACUUACAGAUGUGCCCGCGGCGCAUUAGCUAGUUGGCGGGGUAAUGGCCCACCAAGGCAACGAUGCGCAGCCGACAUGAGAGGGUGAUCGGCCACAUUGGGACUGAGACACGGCCCAAACUCCUACGGGAGGCAGCAGUAGGGAAUCUGCCGCAAUGGACGAAAGUCUGACGGAGCAACGCCGCGUGAGGGAAGAAGGCCUUCGGGUCGUAAAACUCUGUUGCCGGGGAAGAACAAGUGCCGUUCGAACAGGGCGGCGCCUUGACGGUACCCGGCCAGAAAGCCACGGCUAACUACGUG
Molecule: ribosomal RNA, 500 nt
Filed under: uncultured bacterium
Lineage: Bacteria
Description: partial 16S ribosomal RNA
Rfam family: Bacterial small subunit ribosomal RNA
Source: RNAcentral